UGCAUAUUCCCUUCAUCCCAAAAUUCUUGUCUUAGAUUUGUCAAAAUAUGGAUGUAUCUAGUCAUGUUUUAGUGUUAGUUACAUCUGUAUCUAGAGAAAUCUUAUGUAAGAAUUUUGGGACGGAGGUAGUAUGAU
Hordeum vulgare subsp. vulgare (domesticated barley) is the source of this 135-nucleotide non-coding RNA. The record is from Rfam. NCBI's taxonomy places the organism in Eukaryota, Viridiplantae, Streptophyta, Magnoliopsida, Poales, Poaceae.